Molecule: long non-coding RNA, 398 nt
Filed under: Brassica napus (rape)
Lineage: Eukaryota; Viridiplantae; Streptophyta; Magnoliopsida; Brassicales; Brassicaceae
Description: long non-coding RNA (BNAP_LNC011740)
Source: RNAcentral
CAAAAAGAAACAUAUAGUUAACUAAUAUAAACUUAAAACAUCAACUCUAAACCCUAAACCAUGAAACAUCAACUCUAAACCCUAAACCCUGAACCUUCAAAUCUAAACCCUAAAACAUCAACUCUAAACCCUAAACGUAAACCCUAAACCCUAAAUCUAAACUUAAGACAUCAACUUUAAACCCUAAACCAUGAAACAUCAACUCUAAACCCUAAACCCCGAAACAUCAACUCUAAACUCUAAACCUUCAAAUCUAGACCCUAAAACAUCAACAUUAAACCCUAAGCUUAAACCCUAAACCCUAUAUUUUUCUGAAAUUCGAACCCUAAACCCUAAAACCAUAAACCUUCAAAUCUAAACCCUAAAACAUCAACUAUAAACCCUAAACGUAAACCCUA